This 459-nucleotide ribosomal RNA is filed under the name uncultured bacterium. RNAcentral describes it as "partial 16S ribosomal RNA". It matches the Rfam family "Bacterial small subunit ribosomal RNA", at positions 338 to 795 of the family's 1533-position model. The record is from RNAcentral.
CCUACGGGAGGCAGCAGUGAGGAAUAUUGGUCAAUGGCCGAGAGGCUGAACCAGCCAAGUCGCGUGAGGGAAGACGGCCCUACGGGUUGUAAACCUCUUUUGUCGGGGAGCAAAGCGAACCACGUGUGGUUCAUUGAGAGUACCCGAAGAAAAAGCAUCGGCUAACUCCGUGCCAGCCGCCGCGGUAAUACGGAGGAUGCGAGCGUUAUCCGGAUUUAUUGGGUUUAAGGGGUGCGCAGGCGGAGGUGCAAGUCAGCGGUCAAAUGUCGGUGCUCAACACCGGCCUGCCGUUGAAACUGGUCUUCUUGAGUGAGCGAGAAGUAUGCGGAAUGCGUGGUGUAGCGGUGAAAUGCAUAGAUAUCACGCAGAACUCCGAUUGCGAAGGCAGCAUACCGGCGCUCAACUGACGCUGAGGCACGAAAGCGUGGGGAUCGAACAGGAUUAGAUUCCCGAGUAGUC